AUUGAACGCUGGCGGCGUGCCUAAUACAUGCAAGUCGACCUUAGUGGCGAACGGGUGAGUAACACUUGGGUAACCUGCCCAUCAAAAGGUGAUAACACUUGGAAACAGGUGCUAUUACCGUAUACUGAUUGAUGGACCCGCGGUGCAUUAGCUAGUUGGUGAGGUAACGGCUCACCAAGGCCACGAUGCAGAGCCGACCUGAGAGGGUGAGCGGCCACAUGGGGACUGAGACACGGCCCAAACUCCUACGGGAGGCAGCAGUGGGGAAUCUUGGGCAAUGGACGAAAGUCUGACCGAGCAACGCCGCGUGAGUGAAGAAGGUUUUCGGAUCGUAAAACUCUGUUGUUAGAGAGGCGGUAGCUAACCAGAAAGCCACGGCUAACUACGUGCCAGCAGCCGCGGUAAUAC
Molecule: ribosomal RNA, 408 nt
Filed under: uncultured bacterium
Lineage: Bacteria
Description: partial 16S ribosomal RNA
Rfam family: Bacterial small subunit ribosomal RNA
Source: RNAcentral